This 468-nucleotide ribosomal RNA is filed under the name uncultured bacterium. RNAcentral describes it as "partial 16S ribosomal RNA". It matches the Rfam family "Bacterial small subunit ribosomal RNA", at positions 28 to 507 of the family's 1533-position model. The record is from RNAcentral.
GACGAACGCUGGCGGCGUGCUUAACACAUGCAAGUCGAACGGAAAGGCCCUGCUUUUGUGGGGUGCUCGAGUGGCGAACGGGUGAGUAACACGUGAGUAACCUGCCCUUGACUUUGGGAUAACUUCAGGAAACUGGGGCUAAUACCGGAUAGGAGCUCCUGCUGCAUGGUGGGGGUUGGAAAGUUUCGGCGGUUGGGGAUGGACUCGCGGCUUAUCAGCUUGUUGGUGGGGUAGUGGCUUACCAAGGCUUUGACGGGUAGCCGGCCUGAGAGGGUGACCGGCCACAUUGGGACUGAGAUACGGCCCAGACUCCUACGGGAGGCAGCAGUGGGGAAUAUUGCACAAUGGGCGGAAGCCUGAUGCAGCAACGCCGCGUGCGGGAUGACGGCCUUCGGGUUGAAAACCGCUUUCGCCUGUGACGAAGCGUGAGUGACGGUAAUGGGUAAUGAAGCACCGGCUAACUACGUG